ACGCGACACCUACGGGUGGCAGCAGUGGGGAAUAUUGCACAAUGGGGGAAACCCUGAUGCAGCGAUGCCGCGUGAAGGAAGAAGUAUCUCGGUAUGUAAACUUCUAUCAGCAGGGAAGAAAAUGACGGUACCUGACUAAGAAGCCCCGGCUAACUACGUGCCAGCAGCCGUGGUAAUCUGAGCGGGCUGGCAAGGC
This 196-nucleotide ribosomal RNA is filed under the name uncultured bacterium. RNAcentral describes it as "partial 16S ribosomal RNA". It matches the Rfam family "Bacterial small subunit ribosomal RNA", at positions 330 to 539 of the family's 1533-position model. The record is from RNAcentral.